This 253-nucleotide ribosomal RNA is filed under the name uncultured bacterium. Its description in RNAcentral is "partial 16S ribosomal RNA". It matches the Rfam family "Bacterial small subunit ribosomal RNA", at positions 524 to 776 of the family's 1533-position model. The record is from RNAcentral.
UACGGAGGGUGCAAGCGUUAUCCGGAUUCACUGGGGUUAAAGGGUGCGUAGGUGGGUUGGUAAGUCAGUGGUGAAAUCUCCGUGCUUAACAUGGAAACUGCCAUUGAUACUACUGAUCUUGAAUUUUCUGGAGGUAAGCGGAAUAUGUCAUGUAGCGGUGAAAUGCUUAGAUAUGACAUAGAACACCAAUUGCGAAGGCAGCUUGCUACAGGGAUAUUGACACUGAGGCACGAAAGCGUGGGGAUCAAACAGG